This is a long non-coding RNA of Ochotona princeps (American pika), 381 nucleotides long. RefSeq lists it as uncharacterized. The transcript is spliced from 4 exons. The record is from RefSeq and is a predicted model, not a curated record. Lineage: Eukaryota; Metazoa; Chordata; Mammalia; Lagomorpha; Ochotonidae.
GAAAGUUCUAGAGCUUACAGCUCUAGUUUUCUGUUUUCACCACAGAACGUUCCCCGCCUCUGUGCCCCUCCAUGAACCCAGCUCCCAGCCCUUCUUCAAGACCCACAUGGGCUUUCCACAAGAACAGCCUCUGCGCCAGUUUCCAACCACCUUUUAAGGAAAUUCCAAGAGGCUCUGGAAACAUCUCCUAUCUAGCUACUGCUUGUUGGAAAUCUGGUGCCCUCACAAAGGGCCCUGAGAUUCUUGGCAGGAAAAAAAGGACUCUGUAAAAAUCAAGGCUCUGCGGAUACACAAGCACAUACAGGACUGAGCAGAGAGCUGAAGUGGAAGCAUGUCAUGGCUAGAAUUAUCCUAUAGUCUAAAUUGUCUAUAGACUCUGAG